AUUGGCCCUUUUCCAAGUUAAAUUGCAACUAAUUGGUUGAUUCAACUUUUUUGUUUUAAAUUAGCAUGUCUGCCAGUGACUCCAAGCUCAUUGGCCAGUCCAGCUCUGCCCUGCUGUCUGAGUUUGCCUCUGCGGAGAUGAGCCUGCAUGCCAUAUACAUGCAUGAGGUCCACCAGCAGAAAUUCCAGUCUCAGCAUGGACCGGGCCAAUUUCAGCCUACUGUACCCAUGAGGGACUUUGCUGACAGUUCAGGUAAACCUUAUAUUUCGACUGAACAUAUUUAAAAAAUGCUGUGUUGAUAAAUAAGACAUUGAGAACUUUUCAUUUAAAAUGAAAAAUGCCCAAAGUGUCCAAGAGCUUGGUUUUGGGCAGAGGUAGAGUAGGCAAAAGCUGUACUCAAGUAAAUGUACUGUUACUUUUACUUAAGUAAUAAUUUAAAAGGCUACUUUUAAGUGAUUAUUUAAAGAAACUGUCUUAGAAAUUUAAAAAGACUACUCAAGUAGCGAGUUACUUCAUUGGGACUCAUUUAAUAACACAAGGCAACAGUAUGUGUGUGUG
Long non-coding RNA from Electrophorus electricus (electric eel), 558 nucleotides. Lineage: Eukaryota; Metazoa; Chordata; Actinopteri; Gymnotiformes; Gymnotidae. The record is from Ensembl.